This 73-nucleotide transfer RNA is filed under the name Urocitellus parryii (Arctic ground squirrel). RNAcentral's name for it is "Spermophilus parryii (Arctic ground squirrel) tRNA". It matches the Rfam family "tRNA". From Rfam's summary of the family: Transfer RNA (tRNA) molecules are approximately 80 nucleotides in length. Their secondary structure includes four short double-helical elements and three loops (D, anti-codon, and T loops). RNAcentral also lists the same sequence under 1 other name. The record is from Rfam by way of RNAcentral. Lineage: Eukaryota; Metazoa; Chordata; Mammalia; Rodentia; Sciuridae.
UGGGGUGUAGCUUAGUGGUAGAGCAUUUGCCUAGCAUUUGCAAAGGUCCUUGGUUUAAUCCCCAGCAGCGUAG